This 1315-nucleotide long non-coding RNA is filed under the name Mus musculus (house mouse). RNAcentral describes it as "long non-coding RNA chr16:40057039-40058354". The record is from RNAcentral. Lineage: Eukaryota; Metazoa; Chordata; Mammalia; Rodentia; Muridae.
CCCAGACACUAUUGUGGUUGCCAACAAGAGCUUGCUGACCGGAGUCUGAUAUAGCUGUCUUCUGAAAGGCUCUGCCAGUGCCUGACAAAUAUAAAUGCAGAUGCUUCCAGCCAACCAUUGGACUGAGCGCAGGACCCCCAAUGGAGGAGAGAGAAAAAGGAUCAAAGGAGCAAAAGGGGUUUGCAGCCCCAUAGGAAGAACAACAGUAUGAACCAACCAGUAACCCCAGAGCGCCCAGGGACUAAACCACCAACCAAAGAGUACACAUGGAGGGACUCAUGGCUCCAGCUGAAUAUGUAGCAGAGGACAGACUUGUGAGUCAUCAAUGAGAGGAGAGGCCUUUGGGCUUGUGAAGGCUCGAUGCCCCAGUGUAGGGGAAUGCCAGAACAGGGAAGCAGGAGUGGGUGGGUUGGUGAGCAGGGGGAGGGGGCAUGGGAUAUGGUGGUUUUCAGAGGGGAAAUGAGGAAAGGGGAUAAAAUUUGAAACACAAAUAAAGACAAUAUCUAAUAAAAAAGUAAAAUCUAGCAAUGGAGGUUGGGUGUGUUGUGUAGUUAGACAUGUGUGUAAACUGGAGUAGCAUAAAGUGAUGCCUAAUCUCAAUCAUCUCAAUCCGUACAUUGUAUGUAUUGCAUAGGACCACAAACCCUCCACAUUCUAAGUGUAGAUGAGAGGUGGAUGUAUUCAAGAUCACCCUCACACAUAGAUCUGGAGGCCAGAAUAAGAUACACUAUACCAUUUCCCAGAAAAGAGGGAGCAAAUAGAGAAGAAAACAAAACAAAACAAACAAACAAAAAAAAAAAAAAAAAAAAGAGAACGAAAAGCUACUAAGGAGAGUCGAAAAUAGAGAAAAAGUAAUGAAAACAAAGGAAAUGAGACCAGCUUAGAGUUGCAUUUAGCCUCUAAAGUGAAAAGGUUCCAUGUCUGGGAAACAUCACAAAAAGGGAACAAAGCAGAUCCGUGCAGAAUGAGGAGUGCUGGGACCUUGCGCCUGCAUCCCAGAGCCCUGUGCUCCAGCGACCUCACUAUAUUGCCAUCUAACCAAGUAGCUUCAUAAGAUGCUUCAUGUUUGCAGUGGGUUUAGUAAUCAGGAUCAUGUUUUAUUAAUUAAUCUUCACAGCUUUACUCUGAGCCGUAUCUGCAUUAUUAACUUCAUCCACAGACAGAAGACUAGUGUCCAAUAAUAUUGGCAUUCAGAAUCUACAGUCAGGAGGCCCAUGAAGGGUCCUAGAGAAGGCAACCAGAGAUCUCCUGCAUUUUGACGACAUGAAAAAGAAAUUAAAAGCUGGGCGUGGUGGUGCACGUCCUUAAUCCCAGC